Molecule: ribosomal RNA, 497 nt
Filed under: uncultured bacterium
Lineage: Bacteria
Description: partial 16S ribosomal RNA
Rfam family: Bacterial small subunit ribosomal RNA
Source: RNAcentral
AAUGAACGCUGGCGGCGUGCCUAAUACAUGCAAGUCGAGCGAACAGACGAGGAGCUUGCUCCUCUGACGUUAGCGGCGGACGGGUGAGUAACACGUGGAUAACCUACCUAUAAGACUGGGAUAACUUCGGGAAACCGGAGCUAAUACCGGAUAAUAUAUUGAACCGCAUGGUUCAAUAGUGAAAGACGGUUUUGCUGUCACUUAUAGAUGGAUCCGCGCCGCAUUAGCUAGUUGGUAAGGUAACGGCUUACCAAGGCAACGAUGCGUAGCCGACCUGAGAGGGUGAUCGGCCACACUGGAACUGAGACACGGUCCAGACUCCUACGGGAGGCAGCAGUAGGGAAUCUUCCGCAAUGGGCGAAAGCUUGACGGAGCAACGCCGCGUGAGUGAUGCAGGUCUUCGGAUCGUAAAACUCUGUUAUUAGGGAAGAACAAAUGUGUAAGUAACUAUGCACGUCUUGACGGUACCUAAUCAGAAAGCCACGGCUAACUACGUG